CAGAUUGCGAGUGCCCGGUGGCUGCGUAAAAAAAUUCUUGAUUAUUUGUGCAAAAUUUUAAUCUCUGAUGAAAGAGUGCAUAUAAUGUUUGACUCUGCUAAUCAGUUUUGAGUUUUCUUAGGAGCCAUGUGUCUCUUGCCUUAGGAGCUAUGUGUUUCUUAGCCCAAGUUUCGUCCUUAGAAUAUAACUGUCUUGUUUGUGUUGGGCAGGUGAAGGGUAAUAGCCCAACUGCGCUUUUUAAUUGACUUGCCUGCUGUCGCUGUGGUGUAGUGGAAUACGACAAUGAGGAAGGCACAUCCAUGAAGCUCUGCGGGGUCGUUGUGAAUUGCUAAAUUGAUGAGCCUAAAAAGAGGGAACUGAAAGCGACCAAUCAAGGGGAUUUGUUUGCAUUUCUAAUGCACUUGAAUGUAGUUCUGAGUCAGAUGUCUAUCGCAAUCAGGAAAGACCAAGUAAACGUGAAAUAUGAAUCAGGUGGAGUUUAGUUGCAUUCGAUUUGCUGUUCUGAUGUCGUUGAGCUGCAGUGGAUGUGGAUACGAGGAGUUGGACAGACCUUGAACUCUAUUGUUGGCCAUCACAUCGGGACGUAUGAUUGUUAACGGCAGUGCUGAGGUUGAUGAGAGAGAGUUCAGAAACAAGGGAACAAUGGCCAUGAAACUUGAGAUAGACAAGAAGCAGUAUCUAGUGGAUGAACCCUUUUAAGUGGAAAUUGCUGAGAUUGUGCCCAUUCACUCACUGAAAG
Long non-coding RNA from Frankliniella occidentalis (western flower thrips), 739 nucleotides. RefSeq lists it as uncharacterized. The transcript has 4 exons. The record is from RefSeq and is a predicted model, not a curated record. NCBI's taxonomy places the organism in Eukaryota, Metazoa, Arthropoda, Insecta, Thysanoptera, Thripidae.